GGAAAACAGGAAGAAAUUGAAAGCAUUAAAAAAUGGUAAAAUGAAAGUAAAACUGUCACUAUUGGAAAGUGGUAUGACUGUAUUCCUGAAAAACCCAAGGAUGGAAAUUCCACAACUGGAGAAGUAAUCCAAGAUUACAUGCCACUGUUUCCACCCAGAACCUUGCUCUGGAACCCCAGUAAUUUAUAAAUUUGGCUGCUUUAUGGUGUCCCAUAUGUCAUGGAGGCUUUGCUCAUUCUAUUAUAUCCUUUUAU
This 254-nucleotide long non-coding RNA is filed under the name Homo sapiens (human). RNAcentral's name for it is "HSALNT0148422". The record is from RNAcentral. Lineage: Eukaryota; Metazoa; Chordata; Mammalia; Primates; Hominidae.